GGGCGGCGGGGGUGUCCCCUGCCCCGGAAGUACUAUGGCGUUACAGCCUUGCCUUCCGGGGCAGAUUGUCGAUCGUAGCCGCCCUAGGAAGGGACGCCAUUUUCCCUUUCUAGGAAGAGUGAGGGAGAGGAUGGGACUGCAAGGAGAGAAGAAACGGCGCAGCGCCUCCCCGCGGGGCCGCGGACCGAGGGGCGGUCUCGGGCCGCCGUGGGGUCGCUGAGAGACCUGAGGACAUGUCUUCCCUUUCGAGCACGGGGCAACCCCAGCGCCUUAAUAUGUCCUGGCCAUCUUAACAUGGAAGUUACAGUUCCAGGACAAGAUGUAAAAGGUCGAACAGAAAUUUUGAAAUUGGAUCUCAGUAAAAUAAAGUUUGAUCAGUCUGUUGAUCCAGACAUAACAGCUCAAGGUCGUGCUGGCUUUUCUGGCGCAGGUUGGAGAGUCUUGUGAACCAGGCUGCAUGGAAGGCGGCUGUUGGUGGAGAAGGCAGUGGUCACCGCGAAGGGGCUGGAGCUCUCCGCAGGUGAAAUCCUAAGGGGGCCUGAAUGUAGAAGCGUGGAAAUCGAUGACAAAAAUCAAACCAUCACAGCAUGUCAUGAAUCUGGGCAAGCUGUCACUGCACAUUACACUCAAGCUGCCGGGCCUGUCGGCAAGGCCACGGGCACGCUGCGGGGCCAGCACUGGCACAUGUAAUGUCUUGUAAUUUUUUCUUUUCUUUCAAAUAGCGCUCCCCAGAAGCUUAUGUAGGAAAUUGCUAAUGAAAAAACAUUUUUAAAAAAAGAAAAUGCACCUACUUCCUACAUUUGUUGAUACUUUCUUCUUUAACUUUCUGAACCAGCAUGAAGUCAGAAAUACUUGUGAAAUUUAAUAUAAUAAAAUUUUUUCUUAAUAUUUCAGAUACUAUGCCUCUUUAUUAUGAAAUUUAAUUCCACAAUGACAGCAAAGUGUAAUUCUUAAAUAUGUGUAAUUGCUCUUUUCCUCCCUUCAAGAGGCUACAUAUAACUUAAUAGAUUUUCAAAGGUUUUUUCCAUUGAAUACAAGUUUCAUUCUCAUGUUUCGAACUAUAGACAUUUGAAACAUUUUUGUGCAACUAGUGAUUAAACAGCCCUAUUGUAGCAUUACCUGUCUGUUAUUUAUAAAUUCAGUUUUGCUUUAUAAGGAAGUUUGCAUGUUUUACAUAUUGCUGGUUUUGUCAUCAGUCACCUGAUGACCAUCUCUACUAAAUGUGUAGCUUUUAGCAUCAUGCUAUUAAAGAUGUAGUGUAAUGAGAGCCAAAUGGUCAUUCUGGUUAUUAAUACAAAUGUUUCAAACUGUCUGAAUUUUUUUUUCAACUGCUAGGUGUCCCUGUUGCCUGAGAGUGACAGAUGGAAUGAAACUAGAGCUCAGCUCCUUGCACAAAUGGGUGUCAGUGUGGGAUGAGUGGCAGGGGAGCUGAUAUUUGGAACUGACCAUAUUACAACAGGUUGGCUAUCAAGCGUGGCUUUAGUUCAAAUUGUCUUUGCUGGCUUAAAGAUAUUUUAAAGAAUUAAGUUCUACAUUUACUUUAAAAUUUUAGGAGCCUCCAGUGAUUUUGAUAAUGCAACUAAACUAUCAGAGUGGAUGGUUACCAAAUUUGGAAUGAGUGAAAAGCUGCUAAGACAGUAACAGGCCAUCACCUCGUGAGGUAACUGAAUGACAGGACCAGCUGGUCAGCCUUUUCUAGUCACGUGAUGUGACAGGCCUGCUUGCCGAGCCUGCCCACUUUGCCCCAUUCACCUGCUUCUCUUCCGCACAUUAUGGCUCCGUGGAGAAACGGUAGCCCUGAAUGGUGCGUUUCUGGGCUUGGAAGAACUGCCGGGGCUCUCAGACGGUCCUCAGGACUGUACUUACGGUGCCAUAUUUUCUGUCUUGCUCCCACUUUGUUUCAAUCUUUUCCUUUCAGAAGAAUGAUGAAAUUUCUUUGACCUCCAAAGCGAAAAGGAAUCCUGUAAAUGAUGGAAGAGAAUGGAGCAGGGAGAGAGACUGAGCUGGUGCUGAGCUCCUGGCGGAGGCUGACCCCAAGACCCUCAGCUUGAGGCUGACCUGCACGCCCAUGUUCUCCUCAAAGGAACCACUCCGGACAAGAUGACUCUGACCUGUGAGAUGGAAGAUAUUGCCGCACAGCUGAUACUUAGUAAACACUUGCUGGUCAAAUGAAGUUGUAAAGGACACUGGCCCUCAACUGGCAGAGCCAUAGAUCUUGGAGUUAGGACCUACUGUGAUACAGGGAAACUGAGUCCAGAAACUCAAUCUGCUAUUGAAUAAGAAAUCAGAAUCCUUCUAAGGG
This is a non-coding RNA of Manis javanica (Malayan pangolin), 2302 nucleotides long. NCBI's taxonomy places the organism in Eukaryota, Metazoa, Chordata, Mammalia, Pholidota, Manidae. The record is from RefSeq and is a predicted model, not a curated record.